This 449-nucleotide ribosomal RNA is filed under the name uncultured bacterium. Its description in RNAcentral is "bacterial SSU rRNA". It matches the Rfam family "Bacterial small subunit ribosomal RNA", at positions 29 to 506 of the family's 1533-position model. The record is from RNAcentral.
AUGAACGCUGGCGGAGUGCCUAACACAUGCAAGUCGAGCGGCAGCGCGAGUAGUUUACUACUUGGCGGCGAGCGGCGGACGGCUGAGUAACGCGUGAGAACACACCCCAAAGUGAGGAAUAACUGCCCGAAAGGGUAGCUAAUGCCGCAUAUGAUCUUCGGAUUAAAGGAUUUAUCCGCUUUGGGAGUGGCUUGCGUACGAUUAGGUAGUUGGUGAGGUAAAGGCUCACCAAGCCCACGAUCGUUAACUGGUUUGAGAGGAUGACCAGUCAGACUGGAACUGAGACACGGUCCAGACUCCUACGGGAGGCAGCAGUGAGGAAUCUUCCACAAUGGACGAAAGUCUGAUGGAGCAACUCCGCGUGCAGGAUGAAGGCCUUCGGGUUGUAAACUGCUUUUAUGAGUGAAGAAUAUGACGGUAACUCAUGAAUAAGGGUCGGCUAACUACGU